Molecule: non-coding RNA, 568 nt
Filed under: Pan troglodytes (chimpanzee)
Lineage: Eukaryota; Metazoa; Chordata; Mammalia; Primates; Hominidae
Also listed under: 1 other name
Source: RNAcentral
CUGGUGUUUGGAAGACAGUCUUUUUAAGAAUUAUAAAGGAUAUUUCUGAAACUGUGUCUCAUGAUUUUUGAACUACUCUGCUUUUUAUAGGGGUAUGUUUCUGUCAGCUUCUGUUGCUUUAAAAGCUAAGGAGAGAGUAGAGAAACAUGCUUCUUGGCAGUAACUCAGCUCCUAAAUUCUAGCCUAAGGCAGGCUCCGUAGGUCACACUCUUCCUGAAUGUUAGGGCUUCUGUCCCCUCCUUUUCCGCUGCUUAACCAGUAGUAUGUCUUGUGUGCAGGUGGUCUGGAUAAAAGGACAUGGUCAUAAGAGAAUUGUAGUGUUAAAAAAUGACAUGAAAAGUCGUUUGAGUUCACUCAGUCUCUCCCCUGCCAAUCAUGAAAACCAGCCCUCGGAGGGCGAGCGCAUCCUGGAGGUGCCCGAAUCGCACACAGCCUCGGAACUCAAGCUUGGAGCUGACGGCAGUGGGCCCAGUCACACAGAGCAGGAGCUUCUCCGCCUGACCGACGACUCCCCCGUCGACCUCCUGUGUGCGCCUGUCCCCUCGUGCCUGCCGUCCCCUCAGCUGAG